This 57-nucleotide transfer RNA is filed under the name Bos taurus (domestic cattle). It matches the Rfam family "tRNA", at positions 8 to 63 of the family's 71-position model. From Rfam's summary of the family: Transfer RNA (tRNA) molecules are approximately 80 nucleotides in length. Their secondary structure includes four short double-helical elements and three loops (D, anti-codon, and T loops). The record is from Rfam by way of RNAcentral. RNAcentral also lists the same sequence under 2 other names. Lineage: Eukaryota; Metazoa; Chordata; Mammalia; Artiodactyla; Bovidae.
UGGCUCAGACAGUAAAGCGUCUGCCCGCAAUGCAGGAGACCCAGGUUCGAUCCCUGG